AACAUGCUCCCAGUUAGGACAGUGCUUGGCACAUAGCAAGUGUUCAAUAAACGCUGGUUCCAUCAAUGGCAGAACUCACACAUCCAGACACACGCCAAACAACAAACCGAGAAACGGAAGGUGAUCAGCAAAGGAAGACAUGCGUGCACACUUCCCCAUUCUAGAUUCAUUAUCAUGGAUCGAAUUGGUUCUCUUCUCUGGGGAACAUCCGGUUAUAAGGAACGGUGACACUGGACACUGCCUCCCAGUGAACCCCAACUGCUUUACGUACUUGGAUUGAGAACACGGAUUGAGAACAUGAAAUAAAAGAAGAAUCUGCUUUAUCAAAACAAUUCCGACGGUACCAGAAGAGCGGCCUGCAGCCCUUCUUUAUUCUGAGAGUUGGGAAGGAUUCCCAUGGCUCCCAUGGCAGAUGAGGUGCCCCAGACCGAACCAGGUCUGGGAGAGUUUUGUUAGAAUGAGAAGGAAGGUGGACUUGUUUUUUAAAAUUCAGCUGAUGUCAUGUUCACUUUGGGACAGCAUUUUGAAAAAUGGGAAGCUUACUUCCCUGAAAAAACCAGAAACUUCCCAGAAAGCCUGGUGUAUCCGGCCUUGUGUUGGAAACAAGCAAACACAGUCCACAGGCUGCAGAAACCUGCUUGUUAAGUGGCGAAAGGAAAAUGCCCUCAGCCAGACAGCCGAAACACAGGAAUGUCGGGCUGGCCGGAGAUCAGAUCCACAAUCGGAAGUGGAGAAGAGACCGAUAAGGCUAUGAAGAGAGCAGCGUCAGUCAGCAAAACUGGUUUCCGAGUUUAACAGUUCCCAAGUGGGACAGCCACGGAAGACCUGAGGCAGGGACAGGGAAGAUGAGGAGAAGGCCGAGGAGCCAGCAUCAGGCCGGACUUCCUGACUCGGGCACUUGGACACGGAUGUGCAGAACCCAGGGAGCAAGGCUGCUGGAUGAAGCCUCAUCAGAGCAGAGGUGGCCAGGGUUUCUCAGGUGAGCGGAAGAGGGAAUCUGCUUGAACUGCAGCUUGAAAGCAGACAUGCUCAAAAGAGUCUAUAUCUGGGCAAGGUCACAUCUCAGCCUGGCAAUGAGAACUUGGGCAAGGUAAUGCCCUCACUGGGAAAACACUGAAGAAAACCAGCACUAGCUAGCCUCGUAAGACAAAACAGGGCAGCAAAUAUUUAUUUAUAGGUUCAGUAGAUCAUUUGACUUAUUGGUAGUGUUGAUUCAAUUUUUUUCCUUUUUUUCUUUUUUUUAUAUAAAGCAUCUGCUGGGUGCCGAAAAAGGCUAUGUCUCACUCAACUCUUUUUCCAGCUGAAUUUUCAGUGAAGAGGAAGAGAAAGCAUGCAAGAAACAGCACAUGGCAGCUCUACCAAAGAGGACAUUAUUUGGUUUCAUGUUUGGAUGUUAAAUAUCCUUAAAGAUUCAAUAGUCUCAACCCAAUUGGUGUCAUUCCAGGAAGAGAAUAGACUCUUAAAAGAAACUGGGAGAGGAGUCUAGCAGCAAAAGAGAAAAAAAGGGACAUGCUAGCUCAAGACAGGCAAAGAAAUUAGACACUUCUCAGUGAUUUGAAGGAAUUUAUAGCACAUAGGGCCCG
This is a long non-coding RNA of Fukomys damarensis (Damara mole-rat), 1583 nucleotides long. Lineage: Eukaryota; Metazoa; Chordata; Mammalia; Rodentia; Bathyergidae. The record is from Ensembl.